AGUAACUGUUUGAACUGUGUUGGAAGAGGAUGUGUGGGCCAGUGUGGUAGACUAGCGGGUGGUAAUUUCGGGUGCUGCAGCUCUCCAGCCCAAGGUGUUGACUGGGUAGUCUUUGAGUGCCUCCCAACAUGUUAGUGAGGUCCUGAGCUGAUGUACCCUAUGGCGAAGAGUGAGGCGGUAGUUUCCUGAAGUAAUGCAUGGUAUGAGAUGGCACCCAGGCUAACCAGCAGCCGGCACCAACUCUGGCCGACGUCGGGGUGGACAAGGCCCAGAUCCAGUGGGGAGGAAGUCUACAGUAACCUGUAAAAGGGUGUUGGUUUUUCUCGCUGAAGCUCGUACUUGUGCAAUUUUGAUUGGUGGAUUGUGACUUGGUCCUUCUCGUGAUCUACGGCAAGAAAGUGUAGUGGCCUGUUGGACGGCCCGUACAGCGAGGCGCGAGAGUUGGAAAUGUUUCCAACAUUACGUCAGAUACUCCUCCUCUGCUGCAGAUUUGGAAGAUCUGCAAGAUUGUGGGUUGUGGAAGGUUCGAACAUAACUUCAGGAACAGUUGCAGAACAAUCGCUGGAAGUGUUAAAUGCUACAGAAAGUAGCAGUUGUCAGAAUUAGAGGGCAAAAGUGGUAAUUUCGGGUGCUGCAGCUCUCCCGCCCAAGGUGUUGACUGGGUAGUCUUUGAGUGCCUCCUAACAUGUUAGUGAGGUCCUGAGCCGAUGUACCCUAUGGCGAAGAAUGAGGCAGUAGUUUCCUGAAGUAAUGCAUGGCAUGAGAUGGCACCCAGGCUAACCAGCAGCCGGCACCAACUCUGGCCGACGUCGGGGUGGACAAGGCCCAGAUCCAGUGGGAGGAAGUCUACAGUAACCUGUAAAAGGGUGUUGGUUUUUCUCACUGAAGCUCCCACUCGUGCAAUUUUAUGACUGGUGGAUUGUGACUUGGUCCUUCUCGUGAUCUACAGGAAGGAGUCUUUGCACCUGUUUCCUAAGACUGACAGCAUGAGGUGCAUCUUCCAGCUUCGGUCUUGGAGAAGUUGUAAAUUAGGUGGAGACGCAUUAUCUGCAAUGACUGUUGCAAUGUAUUGAAAUGAGUUUAAAAACUCUGGAAAGUGCAGCGGCCUGUUGGACCACCUGGACAGCGAGGCGCGAGAGUUGGAAGUGUUUCCACCAUUACGUCAGAUACUCUUCCUCUGGCGCAGAUUUGGAAGAUCUGCAAUAUUGUGGGUUGUGGAAGGUUCGAACAUAACUUCAGGAACAGUUGCAGAACAAUCGCUGGAAGUGUUAAAUGCUACAGAAAGUAGCAGUUGUGUCGGAAUUAGAGGGCAAAAGUAAGUUUAUUUAGUUUAAUAGGUAAAAUGUGUUAACAUAAUUUUUACCUAAAUAUUUAAUGAAAUUGUGAAGGGGCCUGGAAAUUGGGUAAAUAGAAACUAGCUUAAGGCCUUGACUAGUGGGUACUAUAUCCUAAAGUUAAUUAUUGCAGGAAUUGUGAUUUGAAUAGAAUAAAUGGGACUUUUUUAAUUUGUGAAUGUAAA
Molecule: non-coding RNA, 1519 nt
Organism: Procambarus clarkii (red swamp crayfish)
Lineage: Eukaryota; Metazoa; Arthropoda; Malacostraca; Decapoda; Cambaridae
Source: RefSeq, a predicted model, not a curated record